Molecule: RNA transcript, 1332 nt
Organism: Lucilia sericata (common green bottle fly)
Lineage: Eukaryota; Metazoa; Arthropoda; Insecta; Diptera; Calliphoridae
Gene: Ent2
Gene name: equilibrative nucleoside transporter 1
Exons: 7
Source: RefSeq, a predicted model, not a curated record
CAUUGUAUUUUUAGGAUUGAAAAUGGAUAAAAUAAAUGAGUGUGUUAAACCAGCAAAAGACAAGUGGAAAAUUGUUUUUUUUAUAUUUUUACUUCAUGGACUUGGAACUCUUAUGCCCUGGAAUAUGUUUAUAACAGCAAAAAGUUACUUCGUUGACUUCAAACUGGUUUCAAAUGAUGGAAAUGUGACCUCUGUUUACGCCAACAACUUUAUGCAGUACAUGGGAUUUGCUUCCCAGAUACCAAAUUUGAUAUUUAACUGGUUAAACAUUUUUGUCCAUUUGGGUGGUGACCUUACCAAACGGAUAGUGUACAGUAUAUUGUUUGAGUUGGCAAUUUUUAUUAUCACAGUUAUACUUGCCAUUUUGGAUUCCUCUAACUGGCAGAACGUCUUUUUCUGGAUCACAAUGAUAAGUGUUGUUUUAUUAAACAUGGCAAAUGGCAUAUAUCAAAACAGUAUAUAUGGUAUGGUUGCAACUCUACCCAUAAAAUAUACUGGAGCUGUUGUGCUAGGUUCUAAUAUUAGUGGUCUUUUUGCUGCAAUAGUAGAUAUUUGUAGUACUUACAUAUUUUCCUCGUACAGAACAUCUGCUAUAUACUACUUUAUUACAGCAAUGCUUAUAUUACUUAUUUGUUUUGAUACCUAUUUCGCACUACCAUUAAACAGAUUUUAUAGAUAUCACGAAUUAAGAAGACUUAAAGAAGAAAAACCAUUGUGCAAUUCGGAUGUAACCAGAGUGCCUUAUUUCAAAAUUUUUAAAGAGGCGUUCCCACAACUUUUUAAUAUAUUUUUUACUUUUUUUGUGACAUUAGCUGUAUUUCCUGCUGUUCAUUCUGUUAAUUUUUUCAGAUAUCAAACCCUAUUCCGACGAUUUUUUCAUUUCAAAGGAACGUUUUACAUCCAUUACCUGUUUCUUAACAUUCAAUUUAUUUGCUAUGUUAGGAAGUUUAAUGACAUCUUGGUAUCAAUGGCCCAAAGCAAAUUUGUUAUGUAUACCUGUCAUACUGCGUGCUGUGUUUCUACCUUUGUUUUUGUUCUGCAAUUAUAUACCGAAAAGUACAAUAAGAUCGCUUCCCGUGAUUAUUACUAACGACUGGGCUUACUGGCUAAUAGCUAUCAUUAUGUCCUUCAGCUCUGGAUAUUUAAGCUCUUUGGGAAUGAUGUAUGCUCCACAGAUGGUAUUACCAAAAUAUCAAAUUACAGCAGGGAUGUUUGCUGCUGCUAUGUUAAUAACGGGUAUUUUUUCAGGAAUUCUAUUUUCUUUUAUUUUACCUUCUUUGGUUGCUAUUUAAUCAUUUUAUUUAGAAUUAGUAAUAUAAAUAAAUUCGCAAC